Oncorhynchus kisutch (coho salmon) is the source of this 1698-nucleotide long non-coding RNA. NCBI's taxonomy places the organism in Eukaryota, Metazoa, Chordata, Actinopteri, Salmoniformes, Salmonidae. The record is from Ensembl.
AUAAAAUAAACAUUUAUCUGCGUUAACCACUCCAGUCAACAGAUGGCGAUAUGCGUUUUUCAGGCGAUGCUAUCAGAGUGACGUAUAAUGUAGUGGACGGGACGCUUCUUCAACAACAUCUCGUCAGCCACCUCGGUAGCUUCCUAGCGGAAACGUUCAAGCUGUUCAGACUGCUUCGGUCUAUAUUUACUUCUGUUUUUGGAACAUAAUUCUGUCUUUUAUCUAGUUUCCCCAUUUCAUGUCAUAUUUCCGUUUAGUCAGGUAACGGUAGCUGGCUUGAUAAAUGAGCCUAUCACUAGGCUAGUCGCUAACUAGCUAGGUUAGCUGGCUAACAUCCCCGACCAUGCGCUCAGCAAGCUGCUGCCCUCCUGCUAAAAAAGAGGUCUGCUGGAAGGAGAAAGAAGGUAUUUGGCUGAACGUUGUCGUGAAAGAGGAGAAUGAAGAGGAGGAUGUCACAGUAAACGAAGAAGUCGAGGGUGAGGCUGUUACACAGAAAGAAGAGGAAGAAAACGAUUAUACUUUAUUUGGAGUGAAUGAAGGAGAGAUAACUGUCCUAUUGAAGGAGGAGGAGAGGGAAGAAGAGGAGGAGACAGAAGAUCUGAGUAACACCAGAGAGAGACCAGGCUCUCCUUCUGACAGCAGGAAGAGUCCUUCAGGGAAACCAGACCCCGAGACGUCCUAACCAGCAGGACGACAUCACUGCUCCCAGUGUGGAAAGAGUUUUACUCAGUUAGGGAGCCUGAGAACACAUAAGAGAAUACACACUGGAGAGAAGCCUUACCACUGUUCCCAAUGUGGAAUGUCGUUUACCCAGUUAGGGAGCCUGCAAACGCAUGAGAGGGGACACACAGGGGAAAAGCUUUUCCAAUGUUCCCAUUGUGGAAAGAGUUUUGGCCAGGUAGGAAACCUGAACAAGCAUGAGAGGACACACACAGGUAAGAAGAUGUACCGCUGCUCCCAUUGUGGAGAGAGAUUUACCCGGUUAAGGUACCUGAAAGAGCAUGAAGGAAUACAUACAAAUACACAGGAGGAGAAGACAUACCACUGCUCUCAUUGUGGAAAGACCUUUUCCCAGUCAGAGAACCUGAAAACACACGAGAGAAUCGAGAGGCUGUGUUCUGACUUGUGUUUUUGACUGAGAAUGUGUGUGUUUGUUUGGGCUGUCAGACUUGAGUUCACUUUGUGUAAUGUUAGUGCACUAUUUUUAAUUGUGAUUAAUCCAUUGUCUGAAAGGGUUAAAAAAACACUGAAAACAUCCAGAAUACAUCCUAUAUACAGCUACAAUCUACAAUGCCAUGUAAACACAAGAUGACAUUGAGGUUAAAUAAAGUGUGAUUUAUCAAUGGAACAUAUUUUGACACGUCCACUGUGUGUCUCUGUAGAGUCAUAAUAUCCAUAACAACUAGAGGUCAAACAGGGAGAUGGUUCCAUUCAUUUUCCCCACAGGGCUGUGUUUUGUUUAGACUCACCCUGGUGUGAUGUUUUGAUAACCAUGUAAACCUCUCUGGGACAAGGUGACUGAGGACACAGUGUGUUGUCAAUGUAUUGUCAUGUUUUUAAAAUGGUACAAAUGCCUUUAUUUUAGCUGGACCCCAGGAAGAGUAGCUGCUGCCUUGGCAGGAACUAAUGGGGAUCCAUAAUAAACCCCAGGAAGAGUAGCUGCUACCUUGGUAGGAACUAAUGGGGAUCCAUAUUAAA